RNAcentral lists this ribosomal RNA (169 nucleotides) under uncultured Caulobacteraceae bacterium. RNAcentral describes it as "partial 16S ribosomal RNA". It matches the Rfam family "Bacterial small subunit ribosomal RNA", at positions 337 to 523 of the family's 1533-position model. The record is from RNAcentral. Lineage: Bacteria; Pseudomonadati; Pseudomonadota; Alphaproteobacteria; Caulobacterales; Caulobacteraceae.
UCCGACGGGAGGCAGCAGUGGGGAAUCUUGCGCAAUGGGCGAAAGCCUGACGCAGCCAUGCCGCGUGAAUGAUGAAGGUCUUAGGAUUGUAAAAUUCUUUCACCGGGGACGAUAAUGACGGUACCCGGAGAAGAAGCCCCGGCUAACUUCGUGCCAGCAGCCGCGGUAA